CAGCGUGUAGCAUUUAGCGUUAGCAUCACAGUGUGUAGCACUAACUCUCAUCCAGUCAGUGUGCUGUUAAACUUCAGAGCUCCAGAUAUUUGUUGUGAAACUCAGAGCUUUGACAUCUUUUAUCUUCUCUAAUGUGUGUUUACACUCUUUACCAUGAUACUCAGGUAGCGCUGUCUGUCUCACACUCAUAUCUUCAGCUCAUCAUCUCAUGACGUGGAGAUGGAUCAGGACACGGUGAAAGAACAACAUGAGAUCCAGACUGAAGAUCAGAGGUGAGACCACGUCAGAGCUCAGCACUCACACCUCUGUACAUCAGUGUUACACUGUGUGUGUGUGUGUGUGUGUGUGUGUGUGUGUGUGUGUGUGUGUGUGUGUGUGUGUGUGUCAGCUGUGUGUCCUUUAGAAGUGACCGGUCCAUGGGCAGACUCAUUGACUUCAAAGGAGGUCCAUCUACUGACCCACAAACCAAGCCCAGACUAAGUGGACCAGGACCUGAACCCGAACCCAGCUGUGUGUCCUUUAGAAGUAACAAGUCCAUGUCCAGACACAUUGUAUUCAAAGGUGGUCCAUCUACUAACCCACGUUGAGUGAACAAAUAAUAAGGGUGCUUGUUGUCUUCCUGAUAGUCCAGUUUCUUCACACUCGACACUGAUGAAGCACCAGUAAACAUGACUCAGCACUUUUGAUGGA
RNAcentral lists this long non-coding RNA (690 nucleotides) under Gouania willdenowi (blunt-snouted clingfish). RNAcentral describes it as "lncRNA (ENSGWIG00000017244.1)". Lineage: Eukaryota; Metazoa; Chordata; Actinopteri; Blenniiformes; Gobiesocidae. The record is from RNAcentral.